Molecule: ribosomal RNA, 412 nt
Filed under: uncultured bacterium
Lineage: Bacteria
Description: partial 16S ribosomal RNA
Rfam family: Bacterial small subunit ribosomal RNA
Source: RNAcentral
UGGGGAAUAUUGCACAAUGGGCGCAAGCCUGAUGCAGCCAUGCCGCGUGUGUGAAGAAGGCCUUCGGGUUGUAAAGCGCUUUCAGCGAGGAGGAAGGUGGUGAACUUAAUACGUUCAUCAAUUGACGUUACUCGCAGAAGAAGCACCGGCUAACUCCGUGCCAGCAGCCGCGGUAAUACGGAGGGUGCAAGCGUUAAUCGGAAUUACUGGGCGUAAAGCGCACGCAGGCGGUUUGUUAAGUCAGAUGUGAAAUCCCCGGGGCUCAACCUGGGAACUGCAUUUGAAAUCUGGCAAGCUAGAGUCUCGUAGAGGGGGGCUAGAAUUCCAGGUGUAGCGGUGAAAUGCGUAGAGAUCUGGAGGAAUACCGGUGGCGAAGGCGGCCCCCCUGGACGAAGACUGACGCUCAGGUGCG